GCUACACAUGCAGUCGAGCGGAACGAUGAUAGCUUGCUAUCAGGCGUCGAGCGGCGGACGGGUGAGUAAUACUUAGGAAUCUGCCUAGUAGUGGGGGAUAGCACGGGGAAACUCGUAUUAAUACCGCAUACGACCUACGGGAGAAAGGGGGCAACUUGUUGCUCUCGCUAUUAGAUGAGCCUAAGUCGGAUUAGCUAGAUGGUGGGGUAAAGGCCUACCAUGGCGACGAUCUGUAGCUGGUCUGAGAGGAUGAUCAGCCACACCGGAACUGAGACACGGUCCGGACUCCUACGGGAGGCAGCAGUGGGGAAUAUUGGACAAUGGGGGCAACCCUGAUCCAGCCAUGCCGCGUGUGUGAAGAAGGCCUUUUGGUUGUAAAGCACUUUAAGCAGUGAAGAAGACCAUAUGGUUAAUACCCAUAUGCGAUGACAUUAGCUGCAGAAUAAGCACCGGCUAACUCUGUGCCAGCAGCCGCGGUAAUACAGAGGGUGCAAGCGUUAAUCGGAUACUGGCGUAAAGCGAGCGUAGGUGGCUUGAUAAGUCAGAUGUGAAAUCCCGGGCUUACUGGACUGCAUCUGAAACUGUAGGCUAGAGUAGUGAGAGAGUAGA
RNAcentral lists this ribosomal RNA (609 nucleotides) under bacterium fme09x23p193. RNAcentral describes it as "bacterial SSU rRNA". It matches the Rfam family "Bacterial small subunit ribosomal RNA", at positions 48 to 661 of the family's 1533-position model. The record is from RNAcentral.